AAUAUUGGUCAAUGGAGGCAAUUCUGAACCAGCCACGCCGCGUGAAGGAAGACGGCCCUAUGGGUUGUAAACUUCUCUUAUACAGGAAUAAAGUGAGUCACGUGUGACCUCUUGUUUGCACAGUAUGAAUAAGGAUCGUCUACCUCCACGCCAGCAGCCGCGGUAAUACGGAAGAUCUAAGCGUUAUCCGGAUUUAUUGGGUUUACAGGGUGCGCAGGCGGAAGAUUAAGUCGGUGGUGAAAUUUUGCAGCUCAACUGUAAAAGUGCCAUCGAUACUGGUUGUCUUGAGUGUGGAUGAAGUAGGCGGAAUUUGUGGUGUAGCGGUGAAAUGCAUAGAUAUCACGAGGAACUCCGAUUGCGCAGGCAGCUUACUAGGCCAUAACUGACGCUCAGGCACGAAGGCGUGGGGAUCAAAC
This 416-nucleotide ribosomal RNA is filed under the name uncultured bacterium. Its description in RNAcentral is "partial 16S ribosomal RNA". It matches the Rfam family "Bacterial small subunit ribosomal RNA", at positions 360 to 773 of the family's 1533-position model. The record is from RNAcentral.